CUUUCUCAGGAAACCAACCAUCAGGCCUCCCAGAGAGAAUCGAGGAACUGAAAUCUCCCAUAUCACCACAUCCAGACAAUGAGACAUGGCUGCUGCCUGUUGACAAACUCCUCUUCUUUAUACCUCCCGAAUUUCUGUUUUCCUGCAUAUGGUUACGUCCAAUAGGUCAGCGGCAUAGUGGCGCCCCAGAACAGGGACUUCGAGGACGUGAACGAAGGUCUGCUGGAGCAGAGGAACUGAAUUUGACAAGGCAAACGGGGACCCCAGGACGAGUCUGCCGGCAGUGGAUAUAAGGAGAUGGACAAACUGUGCGUGCGACCAUGGAACGGGAGACUGGAGGAACCUAUGGUGGCCAACCAUGAGCCCGGUCCCUCCGGUACGAGCCAUGAGCCAGCUGAGCCUGAGUGCAAAGAUGGAGAGAGGGCCGAUAGGAGUCACGACACAGCUCUAAUGCUACAUUUUCUGUAAAAUUCGAUGGACCACCAAUUGGAUAGUAAGAGCUGCCCAGCCUGGACUUACAUUCUUUCAAUUAAUACAUAAAACAAAAAGGGGGAUAUGCAGGGAGCCGAAGGCCCGUGGGACGUGACCAGCUCAGCAUUUCGCUGGAGGCUAUAUGAUCAAACAGCAAACUGUUUAUCAUGAAUGCAGGAUGUGGGCAAACUCACAUUGUCCUGCCACCAAAACGUUUGCUGAGGGACAUCAUUCCCUGAUGGCUCCUUGAAGUUAUCUACGGAGAAAAUUAGCGCCUAUUGUUCAAAGCAUGUAGUUCAAAGCCUGCUGUGAACCAAACAGCUGACUGACAAUUACCCGACAAUCACCGCCCCCAACCCCGCUUUUUCGCUAUCUCUUUUGCCUAAUAAAUAUGGAGGGCUGUGUAAACCAGGGCCCUUGUCCACUAGAGGCAAGGUUCCCCCUGACCCCUUCUUCCAAAUAUACUCUUUUGCCUCUUGUCUUUUAUUCCUGCGUUCGCCCCCCUUUGUUCAAUCCAAACGUGGAAGGCAAACUAUUUAUAGCUCAGUAUAUAUGUGCUUAAGUCUGUGUGAACAGAGAAAUGCCUCCCGCAGUGUUUGAAAGUGUUAAGCUGAUAAUGUAACUAACAAUUGCAGAGAGAACAAACGUUCAACUUGCCAUACACCUCAAAUUUGGAGAAACAGAGUUAAUUUGGGCAAAUCUACAAGUUCUGUUUUCGUUCCUAUAUUAUCAUUGUUGUUUAAUACUCACUGUACUUGUAGUUGAGACAAAUAGGUGCUACUGAAUUUUAUACUCUAUUUUCUU
Molecule: long non-coding RNA, 1275 nt
Filed under: Homo sapiens (human)
Lineage: Eukaryota; Metazoa; Chordata; Mammalia; Primates; Hominidae
Description: non-protein coding lnc-KDM5C-2:1
Source: RNAcentral